RNAcentral lists this long non-coding RNA (1162 nucleotides) under Rattus norvegicus (Norway rat). RNAcentral's name for it is "long non-coding RNA NONRATT018729". Lineage: Eukaryota; Metazoa; Chordata; Mammalia; Rodentia; Muridae. The record is from RNAcentral.
CGCCUAGGCCUCAGGCCUGGAGCUGCGAUUUCCCAGUUUCUGAGCACUUUCCCUCACCCCGGGCCUACAGGUUCGCCUCGGCCAUUGCUAGAGGACAGCCUGGAGCAGCACCUCACCCAUGGACACAUCCCCUCGUCCGGCAGGGCCCCUUCCACUAUUUAUUUGUGUAUUUAUUUAUUUAUCUAUUUAUUAUUCUAUUUAAUCUCUUGGCUUCACCCAGGGACUGUCUGGCUUCCCCAGCUGGACUGGGAAGUCAAAGGGCAGAGUCAGCAAGGCCGUCGCUCGCUGCUCCUCCCCUUAUGGGUCUAGGGAGAAGCCCACCCACAUCAGAGCCUGAACUCCUUAGGAAGAGGCCUGGAGAAAUGGGGGGAGGCGGAGCCUGCUGAUCCUCAUCUGGCAGGGGAGGGGCCAUCAGAAGGUCCUAUUUGGGGGCAGGUCCCCGGCCUUCUGAGCCUUCCACUCCUGUCCCAGGAAGCCCUUCUGGAGCCUCUCCCUUUGUUUCUUAUUUAUUCCUCUUUCAGAGGGACCCCAGGUUCCAGGGACCGACUGAGCCCCGGACCCCGCUGGGGCCUCUGGCCUGUUCCCGGGAGGAGUGCUCUCUCCCGGCCACGACUAUGCAACUCUCCCGGGCAGAGGGGCCGGGACUGCCAGCCAGGCGCCUAUUGGCCACCACUACCUCCUCCACCGCGCUUUUGCAUGCCCGGGCGAGGACCGAAGCACACACCUCCGCGCGCACCGGCCCGGCCCCCUCUGCUUUAAGCACACGCCUCUUCCCACGUCCCUCUGUGUUCCCUUUGUGGGCAAGAGCCCUGGACGCUCAGACCUCCUUCCCCUCCCCCUAGCCACAAAAGAGGGUGGAGACUGCAGACCGCCCCAGGUUGCUCUCUAGGGCUUCGGAGGGGGUGGAGCUUCAUUGAGCCCCAGGCUCCCGGAGGGAGGCUGCAGAGAUGGUGGGAGAGAGAGGGGUCACCAGAAGCAAUUAUGGAGGGUGCUGACCCUGUAAAUAGGAACUUCUGACAGCAAUAAUUUCCCAUGCAUGCUAAAUCUUUUGGACCCUCCCUUGUCGUACCCCCAACUCACCCCCUCACCCCUAUUCCUUUCCCAUCUUCAGCAGUAUUACUUGUAACGCAAUUCAGGGAUAUUAAAGGGACUUUGGCCACUC